CGAAUGCUGACAUAAGUAACGAUAAAGCGGGUGAAAAGCCCGCUCGCCGGAAGACCAAGGGUUCCUGUCCAACGUUAAUCGGGGCAGGGUGAGUCGACCCCUAAGGCGAGGCCGAAAGGCGUAGUCGAUGGGAAACAGGUUAAUAUUCCUGUACUUGGUGUUACUGCGAAGGGGGGACGGAGAAGGCUAUGUUGGCCGGGCGACGGUUGUCCCGGUUUAAGCGUGUAGGCUGGUUUUCCAGGCAAAUCCGGAAAAUCAAGGCUGAGGCGUGAUGACGAGGCACUACGGUGCUGAAGCAACAAAUGCCCUGCUUCCAGGAAAAGCCUCUAAGCAUCAGGUAACAUCAAAUCGUACCCCAAACCGACACAGGUGGUCAGGUAGAGAAUACCAAGGCGCUUGAGAGAACUCGGGUGAAGGAACUAGGCAAAAUGGUGCCGUAACUUCGGGAGAAGGCACGCUGAUAUGUAGGUGAAGCGACUUGCUCGUGGAGCUGAAAUCAGUCGAAGAUACCAGCUGGCUGCAACUGUUUAUUAAAAACACAGCACUGUGCAAACACGAAAGUGGACGUAUACGGUGUGACGCCUGCCCGGUGCCGGAAGGUUAAUUGAUGGGGUUAGCGGUAACGCGAAGCUCUUGAUCGAAGCCCCGGUAAACGGCGGCCGUAACUAUAACGGUCCUAAGGUAGCGAAAUUCCUUGUCGGGUAAGUUCCGACCUGCACGAAUGGCGUAAUGAUGGCCAGGCUGUCUCCACCCGAGACUCAGUGAAAUUGAACUCGCUGUGAAGAUGCAGUGUACCCGCGGCAAGACGGAAAGACCCCGUGAACCUUUACUAUAGCUUGACACUGAACAUUGAGCCUUGAUGUGUAGGAUAGGUGGGAGGCUUUGAAGUGUGGACGCCAGUCUGCAUGGAGCCGACCUUGAAAUACCACCCUUUAAUGUUUGAUGUUCUAACGUUGGCCCCUGAUCGGGGUUGCGGACAGUGUCUGGUGGGUAGUUUGACUGGGGCGGUCUCCUCCUAAAGAGUAACGGAGGAGCACGAAGGUUGGCUAAUCCUGGUCGGACAUCAGGAGGUUAGUGCAAUGGCAUAAGCCAGCUUGACUGCGAGCGUGACGGCGCGAGCAGGUGCGAAAGCAGGUCAUAGUGAUCCGGUGGUUCUGAAUGGAAGGGCCAUCGCUCAACGGAUAAAAGGUACUCCGGGGAUAACAGGCUGAUACCGCCCAAGAGUUCAUAUCGACGGCGGUGUUUGGCACCUCGAUGUCGGCUCAUCACAUCCUGGGGCUGAAGUAGGUCCCAAGGGUAUGGCUGUUCGCCAUUUAAAGUGGUACGCGAGCUGGGUUUAGAACGUCGUGAGACAGUUCGGUCCCUAUCUGCCGUGGGCGCUGGAGAACUGAGGGGGGCUGCUCCUAGUACGAGAGGACCGGAGUGGACGCAUCACUGGUGUUCGGG
RNAcentral lists this ribosomal RNA (1446 nucleotides) under Escherichia coli. Its description in RNAcentral is "partial 23S ribosomal RNA". It matches the Rfam family "Bacterial large subunit ribosomal RNA", at positions 1291 to 2720 of the family's 2925-position model. The record is from RNAcentral. Lineage: Bacteria; Pseudomonadati; Pseudomonadota; Gammaproteobacteria; Enterobacterales; Enterobacteriaceae.